RNAcentral lists this ribosomal RNA (253 nucleotides) under uncultured bacterium. RNAcentral describes it as "partial 16S ribosomal RNA". It matches the Rfam family "Bacterial small subunit ribosomal RNA", at positions 524 to 776 of the family's 1533-position model. The record is from RNAcentral.
UACGGGGGGGGCAAGCGUUGUUCGGAAUUACUGGGCGUAAAGGGCUCGUAGGCGGCCAACUAAGUCACACGUGAAAUCCCUCGGCUCAACCGGGGAACUGCGUGUGAGACUGGAUGGCUUGAGUUUGGGAGAGGAAUGCGGAAUUCCAGGUGUAGCGGUGAAAUGCGUAGAUACUGGGAGGAACACCGGUGGCGAAGGCGGCUACCUGGACCGGUUCUGACGCUGAUGCGCGAAAGCGUGGGUAGCAAACAGG